UUAACAGGAUUAGAUACCCUGGUAGUCCACGCCGUAAACGAUGAUAACUAGCUGUCGGGGCUCUUAGAGCUUCGGUGGCGCAGCUAACGCAUUAAGUUAUCCGCCUGGGGAGUACGGCCGCAAGGUUAAAACUCAAAUGAAUUGACGGGGGCCUGCACAAGCGGUGGAGCACGUGGUUUAAUUCGAAGCAACGCGCAGAACCUUACCAGCGUUUGACAUGUCCGGACGAUUUCGGGAGACCGAUCUCUUCCCUUCGGGGACUGGAACACAGGUGCUGCAUGGCUGUCGUCAGCUCGUGUCGUGAGAUGUUGGGUUAAGUCCCGCAACGAGCGCAACCCUCGUCCUUAGUUGCCAUCAUUUAGUUGGGCACUCUAAGGAAACCGCCGGUGAUAAGCCGGAGGAAGGUGGGGAUGACGU
RNAcentral lists this ribosomal RNA (417 nucleotides) under uncultured bacterium. Its description in RNAcentral is "bacterial SSU rRNA". It matches the Rfam family "Bacterial small subunit ribosomal RNA", at positions 769 to 1185 of the family's 1533-position model. The record is from RNAcentral.